Felis catus (domestic cat) is the source of this 1093-nucleotide long non-coding RNA. RefSeq lists it as uncharacterized. The record is from RefSeq and is a predicted model, not a curated record. Lineage: Eukaryota; Metazoa; Chordata; Mammalia; Carnivora; Felidae. The transcript has 3 exons.
AAAAUACUUGCCUCAGUCUCUGGUUGUAAAGCCUGGCUGAGCUGAUACCGGGAACAGCAUCAGCUAGUGACCGGCACAGAGUACGAACUUAAUUCUCGGCACUGAUGAAGGUGAAAAUGAAAAGGAGGUAAAGGAUGAUUUUGAAGAAUCAGUAUUCAAAGCUUCUCAUCUUUACAUAGAACAUUUAAGGAAUUUCAGGACACUGAGAAGUCCAAGACCGAGGUGCCGGCAACUUUGCUCCUAGUGAAGACCCUGUUCCUGGUCCGCACAUGGUCAUCUUCUCCUUGUAGCUUCACAUGGCGAGGAGAGAGAGAGAGGAAGCAAGCCCUCUCUUGUCUCGUCUUAUAAAGAUGCUCAUCUUAUCGUGAGGGCCCCACCCUAACAACCUAAUCACUUCUCAAAGUCUCCAUCUCUAAAUACCAUCACAUUGGUGAUUAAGGGUUCCACAUAUGAAUUUGCAGGGUACAUAAACCCAAUAGCAUAGGUCAAAAUAAACUUGGCAACUGAAGUCAAGUCAUUGAAAAGUCUUUAUAGUUAUUUUCUCAGUCACCAGGUCACUUUUAACAGCUCCCUCCCCAUGCCAAAAUAGGAUAGUGUAUUGACCAUUUAACCUUUUGAUGCCUGAAGAAAUGUUUUAUGCCUUUACCUCCUGACUCCAUUCUUCCUUUCAUACCAUGUCCAUUGCUUCCUUUCACCCACAUGCCACCCCGCUAUCAAGACCCUUGAUUCUGAAACCUCAAAUGGCAUUUAAGUUUCACUCCAAAAUGAAAUUUUUCCAAUAAACUUCUUUGUAUUCUGUCAUUUGAGGUCCUGCCCUUCCUUGCUUAUUGUGGAACCCGAUCCAAGAUCCCAGAAUUUCACCCUAAGCCAGACACUGUUGUCCUCAAAGGGAUUCAGAUGUUUGUGUAUGUGUAUAGCAUUCAUUCAAAGAAUAGUUUAUAAUAAUUAUAAGUAAAAUAUUGCAAUAAAAUUAUAACAAGAAUAAUUACAUAUUUCCUUUGUGUUUAAUAUGUGUACAUGAACCUUGUGGCCAUUCUUUUAAAAAUAGUUCAUGGGGCGCCUGGGUGGCUCAGUCAGUUGAGCACCUGACUUC